This 408-nucleotide ribosomal RNA is filed under the name uncultured bacterium. RNAcentral describes it as "partial 16S ribosomal RNA". It matches the Rfam family "Bacterial small subunit ribosomal RNA", at positions 28 to 526 of the family's 1533-position model. The record is from RNAcentral.
GACGAACGCUGGCGGCGUGCUUAACACAUGCAAGUCGAACGAAGUGGCGAACGGGUGAGUAACGCGUAAUCAACCUGCCCUUCAGAGGGGGACAACAGUUGGAAAAGACUGCUAAUACCGCAUACUGAAGGAUGGGAUUGCGUAUGAUUAGCUAGUUGGAGGGGUAACGGCCCACCAAGGCGAUGAUCAGUAGCAGGUCUGAUGGGAUGAGCGGCAAACUUGGGACUGAGACACGACCCAGACGACUACGGGAGGCAGCAGUGGGGAAGCGACCGAAAUGGACGAAAGUCUGACGGAGCAACGCCGCGUGAGUGAUGACGGCCUUCGGGUGGUAAAGCUCUGUUAAUCGGGACGCGGUACCGGAAUAGAAAGCCACGGCUAACUACGUGCCAGCCGCCGCGGUAAUAC